Molecule: ribosomal RNA, 497 nt
Filed under: uncultured bacterium
Lineage: Bacteria
Description: partial 16S ribosomal RNA
Rfam family: Bacterial small subunit ribosomal RNA
Source: RNAcentral
GACGAACGCUGGCGGCGUGCCUAAUACAUGCAAGUUGAGCGCUGAAGGUUGGUACUUGUACCAACUGGAUGAGCAGCGAACGGGUGAGUAACGCGUGGGGAAUCUGCCUUUGAGCGGGGGACAACAUUUGGAAACGAAUGCUAAUACCGCAUAAAAACUUUAAACACAAGUUUUAAGUUUGAAAGAUGCAAUUGCAUCACUCAAAGAUGAUCCCGCGUUGUAUUAGCUAGUUGGUGAGGUAAAGGCUCACCAAGGCGAUGAUACAUAGCCGACCUGAGAGGGUGAUCGGCCAAAUUGGGACUGAGACACGGCCCAAACUCCUACGGGAGGCAGCAGUAGGGAAUCUUCGGCAAUGGACCAAAGUCUGACCGAGCAACGCCGCGUGAGUGGAGAAGGUUUUCGGAUCGUAAAACUCUGUUGGUAGAGAAGAACGUUGGUGAGAGUGGAAAGCUCAUCAAGUGACGGUAACUACCCAGAAAGGGACGGCUAACUACGUG